This 253-nucleotide ribosomal RNA is filed under the name uncultured Methylobacter sp. Its description in RNAcentral is "partial 16S ribosomal RNA". It matches the Rfam family "Bacterial small subunit ribosomal RNA", at positions 524 to 776 of the family's 1533-position model. The record is from RNAcentral. Lineage: Bacteria; Pseudomonadati; Pseudomonadota; Gammaproteobacteria; Methylococcales; Methylococcaceae.
UACGGAGGGUGCGAGCGUUAAUCGGAAUUACUGGGCGUAAAGCGUGCGUAGGUGGUUCGUUAAGUCAGAUGUGAAAGCCCUGGGCUCAACCUGGGAACUGCAUUUGAAACUGGCGGACUAGAGUUUAGUAGAGGGGAGUGGAAUUUCAGGUGUAGCGGUGAAAUGCGUAGAUAUCUGAAGGAACACCAGUGGCGAAGGCGACUCCCUGGACUAAAACUGACGCUGAGGUACGAAAGCGUGGGUAGCAAACAGG